UAUAGUUCUGGUGUCUGUGUUGUAGGAGUACUUCGCUGAUGCAAGAAGUUAACAUAGGCUCUACAUCCCCUACUCCUACUCCAUACGUCCUAGUCGUACAGAACGGUAACACCUCUGAAUUAUCCCGAAAGGCUGCGCUGGUUUCUCUCGUCUUGGUGUCAUUGCAACGA
Anopheles gambiae (African malaria mosquito) is the source of this 170-nucleotide non-coding RNA. The record is from Rfam. NCBI's taxonomy places the organism in Eukaryota, Metazoa, Arthropoda, Insecta, Diptera, Culicidae.